GUGUCCUAGGGGGGCAGCAGUGGGGAAUAUUGCACAAUGGGGGAAACCCUGAUGCAGCGACGCCGCGUGAGUGAAGAAGUAAUUCGUUAUGUAAAGCUCUAUCAGCAGGGAAGAAAAUGACGGUACCUGAGUAAGAAGCCCCGGCUAACUACGUGCCAGCAGCCGCGGUAAUACGUAGGGGGCAAGCGUUAUCCGGAUUUACUGGGUGUAAAGGGAGCGUAGACGGCAGUGCAAGUCUGGAGUGAAAGGCGGGGGUUCAACCCCCGGACUGCUCUGGAAACUGCACGGAUGGAGGG
This 296-nucleotide ribosomal RNA is filed under the name uncultured bacterium. RNAcentral describes it as "partial 16S ribosomal RNA". It matches the Rfam family "Bacterial small subunit ribosomal RNA", at positions 334 to 648 of the family's 1533-position model. The record is from RNAcentral.